CCUCACUGGCCCCCGAGUCGCGCGCGCUCUCUCGACGGACACCCCCACCACCGCCAGCACAGGAGGGGGCUGGAGGGCUGGAAGCGUCCCGGGCCCGGGGCCGGUUUUGUGGCCUCACCUCGGGGCGGGUACCCAGGUAGCUGGAAAGUCAAGAAGUCUGUCCCUCCCGCUUCCAGUGGACGACCCUCACACCCUGUCAGAAAAGUUGUCUCGGUUGCCUGGCCUCAGGUGUCUCCCCAGGUUUGCCUUCGUUACCUGGCGCCCCAGCCUUGACCGGAAAGAGCGCGGAAGGGAGAGACAAGAAACUGAGUCCUAAUGAAACUGGCCCAAUACCCCGCCGGUAGUAAAUGGCAGAGUCGAGAUUUCAACCCAUACCACCAACUAACUACAGGACUAUAUUCUCCUGUGGGCUUGAAUCCCCUCCGUGGGAAGUCAGCUAUUGAAGGUGGAAUUGAUUUUUGGAAACAGCCUAAUGAAGGCCUCAGCUCCUCUCCCAUCCCAGCCAUCACCACGUCCCUCAGCCAAACCGACUGCCCUCCUCUACUCACAGCGGAAGUCGUGAUAGAACUUGAGUGGGGGCAUGUUCCUCUCUACUGCCACAUUACCCCAUGGAAGCCCCAAGUGCAAGAUCUGACGCCGCCGGGAGCAAGGCUGACCACUCUGCUCAGUGCCCACAAGUCGACCCAUCAGCCGCCAGUCACGUAUCUCGAACAGUUGAGUUUCACAACAGACUCAGAAGACUGGGAAAUGCUCUUCAGCCUAGAGAAAAACCAACCUGACUCCACCUCCCCCCACAGAAGCAUUACCUCCAGAGAGCGGAUGCUGCUGUGAUAGGUAA
Non-coding RNA from Callorhinus ursinus (northern fur seal), 838 nucleotides. NCBI's taxonomy places the organism in Eukaryota, Metazoa, Chordata, Mammalia, Carnivora, Otariidae. The record is from RefSeq and is a predicted model, not a curated record.